UUUGUUUCUUACUACACACCCCAUCACCGUGACUCUGGAGUCACAGGCCUUGCUAUUUUCCAUAAAUAUUCCACGUAUAUUCAAAUUCCAAGCCCUUUCACUUGCUCUUCCCUCUGUCUACAAGCUUUUGCUUCAGAUAUGCAUCUGGCUACUUUACUUUUCUCAAGUCUUUGCUCAACUGUGAGGUCUUCCCUGAUAUCUCUAUAAGCGCAACCCAUGCACCUUACCAUUCACUAUUUCCCUCUCACACUUUAUUUUUUUCCAUAGUACUUACCGCUGUCUAAUGCAUGUCAUCACUUACUUGCUUCAUUUGUUUUUAUCCUCUUCCCCACAUGUAAGAUCCCUGAGAGCAGAGACUUGUCCCUAUUUUUUUCCUUCCACUAGUCCUAGAGUGAUGCCUGGCAUAGAAUAGGCACUAUUUAUUGGAUGAGUAAUAGUAACUUAUAACUUGUAUUCUAGUUUCAUGUAGAAAACUGUUUUCCCCAUUUGCCUGUGAGCCGUUUAAGGGGAGGGUGGGUUUCACUGUGGGACCCCCACCCCCACCUCAAAGCGUCUAUUGCAGUAUACAAAAAAGAUGCUUGAUAUAUGCUUGUUAACGGAAUGAUGGAAGCAAAGAAUCACUCACCUUCAGUAUGGAGACAAAGAAACAAGGUCAUCCAGGAGAGUCCUGCUAAUGUGGAAGAUAGGAAGUACACCAAGGACUUAAAAUCCCUGGGAACAACCCUCCACCAGCAGUGGCAGUAGAUAAAUGCCCAACCUCAGCCUCUGGUCAACGUGGUCAGAAUAAGAUGGUGUCAGUUGUGUUUAAGUAUGAGCAGCUGUGAGCUGGUGAGCAGGGCAUUUAAGGAGUCAUUGCAUGUAUCAUCGUUGUCAAGAACAGGGCUUUAUAUAAAAAUGCCACCUUCAGUCAUUUAUUUUCAGUAUCCAGCAGUGGCUGGCAUCUAGUAGGUAUUCAGUGGAUGCCUGGGAAAUGAACAAACAUAUUCCUUUAAUGGUGGACUCAGCAGUCUUCAGAGCUUCCUUAAUGACUGGAGAAUGUCUUUAACUGUUAAACCUGUGCACCUGUGUUUCCCAGGCAUCCUUUGGCCUUGAAUUCCCAAAGGAACUCCUUCUCCCAUAUCUCCUAAGAGCUCUGGAAGUAGCAGCUCAUCAGUGCCCUCCCUGACCUGGGAGGUUAGGCCAGGAUGCCCCUAAGAUCGUCUGGUUAAUCCAGCCAAUCCCAGAGCUGGGGCCAGAACCCCUGUGUGUAGCCCUCUUCCCACAGUAGCCACUGUGGACAAUCCAAGAAAGUACUCGGGGAGGCUAACAGCCGUAUUUUCAGAUUCAAUUUCAACAAAGUGUUACCAUUUAAGAAAGCCUGCCAAAAAGAUAAUGGGGAUGAAAGAGUGCUCUGUAAACUGUAAAGUGCCAUUCAAAGGUUAGCCAUCUGAGGUUCACUGCCAAGGUCAAUAAACCAAGGCCUGGGUGUAGAGCCA
This 1475-nucleotide long non-coding RNA is filed under the name Felis catus (domestic cat). RNAcentral describes it as "lncRNA (ENSFCAG00000048851.1)". Lineage: Eukaryota; Metazoa; Chordata; Mammalia; Carnivora; Felidae. The record is from RNAcentral.